RNAcentral lists this ribosomal RNA (253 nucleotides) under uncultured bacterium. RNAcentral's name for it is "partial 16S ribosomal RNA". It matches the Rfam family "Bacterial small subunit ribosomal RNA", at positions 524 to 776 of the family's 1533-position model. The record is from RNAcentral.
UACGUAGGUGGCAAGCGUUGUCCGGAUUUAUUGGGUUUAAAGGGUGCGUAGGCGGUUUCUUAAGUCAGCGGUGAAAUACGGCAGCUCAACUGUCGAGGUGCCAUUGAUACUGGGAAACUUGAGUACUGAUGAGGUAGGCGGAAUGGACGGUGUAGCGGUGAAAUGCUUAGAGAUCGUCCAGAACACCGAUAGCGAAGGCAGCUUACUAAGGAGUAACUGACGCUGAGGCACGAAAGUGUGGGGAUCAAACAGG